Molecule: ribosomal RNA, 253 nt
Filed under: uncultured bacterium
Lineage: Bacteria
Description: partial 16S ribosomal RNA
Rfam family: Bacterial small subunit ribosomal RNA
Source: RNAcentral
UACGAGGGGGGCAAGUGUUGUUCGGAAUCACUGGGCGUAAAGGGCGCGUAGGCGGGCUCUUAAGUUAGGUGUUUAAUCCCGGGGCCCAACCCCGGACAGGCACCUAAAACUGGGAGUCUGGAAUAGUGGAGAGGACGGCGGAAUUGGGGGUGUAGCGGUGGAAUGCGUAGAGAUCCCCAAGAACACCAGUUGCGAAGGCGGCCGUCUGGACACAUAUUGACGCUGAGGCUCGAAAGCAUGGGGAGCAAACAGG